This 694-nucleotide ribosomal RNA is filed under the name Listeria monocytogenes. RNAcentral describes it as "bacterial SSU rRNA". It matches the Rfam family "Bacterial small subunit ribosomal RNA", at positions 846 to 1533 of the family's 1533-position model. Lineage: Bacteria; Bacillati; Bacillota; Bacilli; Caryophanales; Listeriaceae. The record is from RNAcentral.
CUGCAGCUAACGCAUUAAGCACUCCGCCUGGGGAGUACGACCGCAAGGUUGAAACUCAAAGGAAUUGACGGGGGCCCGCACAAGCGGUGGAGCAUGUGGUUUAAUUCGAAGCAACGCGAAGAACCUUACCAGGUCUUGACAUCCUUUGACCACUCUGGAGACAGAGCUUUCCCUUCGGGGACAAAGUGACAGGUGGUGCAUGGUUGUCGUCAGCUCGUGUCGUGAGAUGUUGGGUUAAGUCCCGCAACGAGCGCAACCCUUGAUUUUAGUUGCCAGCAUUUAGUUGGGCACUCUAAAGUGACUGCCGGUGCAAGCCGGAGGAAGGUGGGGAUGACGUCAAAUCAUCAUGCCCCUUAUGACCUGGGCUACACACGUGCUACAAUGGAUAGUACAAAGGGUCGCGAAGCCGCGAGGUGGAGCUAAUCCCAUAAAACUAUUCUCAGUUCGGAUUGUAGGCUGCAACUCGCCUACAUGAAGCCGGAAUCGCUAGUAAUCGUGGAUCAGCAUGCCACGGUGAAUACGUUCCCGGGCCUUGUACACACCGCCCGUCACACCACGAGAGUUUGUAACACCCGAAGUCGGUAGGGUAACCUUUAUGGAGCCAGCCGCCGAAGGUGGGACAGAUAAUUGGGGUGAAGUCGUAACAAGGUAGCCGUAUCGGAAGGUGCGGCUGGAUCACCUCCUUUCUAAGGAA